AUGCACUCCAAGAAGGAUUGUCCAUUGCUGUCGGCUGGCGUCAAGUUCGUUCCCAUGGAUCAGGAGCUGAUCGAGCACCUUGAGGCCAAAGUGAGUGCUGACAGUGCAAGAUCUCACCCUCUCAUCGAUUUGUCCAUACCCACCAUCGACAGCGAGCACGGCCUAUGCUACACCCAUCCUAAGAAACUUCCAGGUAUCACACUGAGUGGCCUAAGCAAGCAUUUCUUCCAACGCAAUUCCAGGGCGUUCAAAAGGGGCACGUGGACACGUCGCAAGAUACAGUCGGAGUGCGGCAUGCACGCGAUGUGGCACAAUACCGGCAAUACCUUGCCGGUGAUGGUCAACGGCCGGCAGACGGGCAGCAAAAAUGUUCUGGUGCUGCACACCAACAAGAACUUCGACCAGCAGAGGACCCACUGGGUGAUGCACCAGUACCACCUCGGGGACCUGGAGCAAGAGAAGGAGCGGGAGCUGGUCCUCUGCAUUAUUUUCUACCAGACGAAUACUAGGGCCAGGAGUAAAAAGAUUAUAAGUUCGUUUGGAAUUGGUACUUGUACUACCUUGUCGUCCGCAAGUUGGUCGAGCAAGUUUCAACAGGUCUGUAGACUGCCCAGGUUUGGUUUUGUUUUUAACAGGCCCAGCCCACGACGACAACAGGGCACGAAGAUCCAGCAGUUUUACUAG
RNAcentral lists this ribosomal RNA (684 nucleotides) under Triticum aestivum (bread wheat). Its description in RNAcentral is "partial small subunit ribosomal RNA". Lineage: Eukaryota; Viridiplantae; Streptophyta; Magnoliopsida; Poales; Poaceae. The record is from RNAcentral.